RNA transcript from Papaver somniferum (opium poppy), 1831 nucleotides. RefSeq lists it as uncharacterized. NCBI's taxonomy places the organism in Eukaryota, Viridiplantae, Streptophyta, Magnoliopsida, Ranunculales, Papaveraceae. The transcript has 4 exons. The record is from RefSeq and is a predicted model, not a curated record.
UUGCACAGCCUGUCGUAAGCCAGGAUAAAGGAGGAACGUUCGUGGCUUGGCGAGCCAACGGUAAAAUAUCUAAGAGUUGGUUACUGCUUGGCAGUUCAUACCAUCAAUCCGGAGAUAAUUGCAACCUUGGCAGUGUCAAGAGGAAGUUGCAGUAUUGGCUGUUCAUACUACCUAGUGAGGAGAUGAUUGCUGCUUUCCAGUUCAUACCGUCUGAUCUUUUUCCAUAAACCUACUAGGGUUUUGAGACAUAUGAUAAAUCUGUCUUCAUCAGUCUUGGCUAGGCUACUCAGGAUGGUCUUUUGGCGUCCGUUUUCUGCAGCCAUGCAGGAGAUAGAUCUCUUUCCUGUCUCACUCUACUAGGCCUAUUUGAAGAAGAUGAAGAAGAUAAUCUGUUGGGCUUGACCUAGUGUGAGUUGCCAGACCUUCUCUAGCUAUAGAGAAAGGUACCUAGGCAGCCGCUUUGCUGUCCAGCACAACUGUGCGAGGUUGUUCAUAUUGUAGGAAAAGAGUUGGUUACUGCUUGACAGUUCAUAACUUCAUAUCAUCGGUAGUCAGACUUCAAAAAGGAGAGAAGUGGGUGUUUUUCUUUGAGGGUGUUUCUUUGUUGCCCGUCUCCUGAGAUCUGCUUGAUUUUUUCUCUCUACCGAGAGAUGCAAAAUCAGAGCUGAUGAUUAUGAACUUGAUAAAUCAUGCAGAUCUCAUGCAGGAGAUGGAUCUCUUUCCUGAGUCUCAGUCUACUAGUUCCGUAUGAAUCUACUAGGGUUUGGAGACUUGUUAAAUCUGUGUUCAUCAGUCUUGGCGAGGUAACUCGAGAUGGUCUUCUGGGCCAUCGUUUCUGCAGCCGUGCAGGAGAUAGAUCUAUUUCCUUGUCUCACUCUACUAGUUUCAUAUAAAGCUACUUGGGUUUGUAGACUUGUUACAAAUCUGUCUUCAUCAGUCUUGGCGAGGUAACUCGGAAUGGUCUUUUAGGCUACCGUUUCUGCAGCCAUGCAGGAGAUGUAUCUAUUUCCUUGUCUCACUCUAGUACUCUACUAGUCUGAGCCUCCUCUCUCCCUCCUCCUUUUUUUUCCUGGAAAAUUAAAAAUAAAAACUGAAGGGUAUCAGGUCCAGUCGUCGUUUGCCGAUGGAGUGGCAAGGGCUGCUAUGUAUGACCUCAUACAUGUUGGUCAUGACAGUCUUUUGGGGGAAAUUAUAUGAUUAGAAGGAGAUCUUGCUAUAGUAUGGGCUUUGAUGAAUGUUGCAUUAUUUCAUUAUUUUCUUUCACUCAAGAUGGAAAAAGAGCUGAAUGUGAUAUUGGACCAUGGCGAGGCACAGCCAGCUAUUAGCUGUACUGGUGAUAGUGGUCCUGUGUCUUACCUUGAACAAGUCGUUUCUCCCAUUUCUGAGACAAUGACAACUAAAAGUAGUUUUGUGGAGCACCAGAUAAUUGAAGUUUUCACCGGCUUAUUUUUGGUCUUAAAGAUUCAGGUUGUUACAUUCAGAUAGUUGAUCGGAAGUUCCAUAUUUGCUAUUCAAUGGUUUGGUAAUAGAUGCGUGCUUGCUUUCACACCUACAGAGUCUGACAAUUAUAGCUUUCAAUGACGGAAACAAUGGACAAAAACUACAUGGAUAAAAAGUAGGUCUUAAUUAAACUGUCAUCAAUCAAUACUCUAACCACAACAAUGGACAUCCAACUGUUAGAGAUAUAAGUGUGUGAAUAGUUUGUGUCAAGUCAACUGGUCAAUAUUGACUUGACUUGUAUUAUUACACCCAAUGUUUGUCUUUAAAUACUUGUAAUAAUACUUUCUUAAUUUGUACCGAAAACAAUUCUUUACAAUAACAUCAACUUUAG